Molecule: long non-coding RNA, 448 nt
Filed under: Selaginella moellendorffii
Lineage: Eukaryota; Viridiplantae; Streptophyta; Lycopodiopsida; Selaginellales; Selaginellaceae
Description: long non-coding RNA (SMOE_LNC001178)
Source: RNAcentral
AGGAGCUUACAUUUGGUAUCGGAGCGGUCUCGGGUCCGACUCUGUUAGUUGGCUAGGGGAAUCACACCACAUGUUGAUUGACAUCUGGCUGGUCCAAUUUGCUCCCGCUGGGCUCGACCCAAGGGAGAGUUGCGGCUCUCAGCUUCUGUUCACGAGGGCAUGAACUUGCAAAGAAGCGUGGUGGAUUAUAAGCAACUAAAGGGAACCGGGUCCGACUCUGUUAGUUGGCUAGGGGAAUCACACCACAUGUUGAUUAACAUCUGGCUGGUCCAGUUUGCUCCCGCUAGGCUUGACCCAAGGGAGAGCUGCGGCUCUCAGCUUCCGUUCACGAGGGCAUGAACUUGUAGGGAAGCGUGGUGAAUUAUAAGCAACUAAAGGGAACGAUUCAAGAGGCGAUCCGUUAGGGUUCAAAUAUAGAGGGAAAGGGCCCAUGAACAAGAGUGCACCC